Molecule: ribosomal RNA, 437 nt
Filed under: uncultured bacterium
Lineage: Bacteria
Description: partial 16S ribosomal RNA
Rfam family: Bacterial small subunit ribosomal RNA
Source: RNAcentral
AGCGAACGCUGGCGGCAGGCUUAACACAUGCAAGUCGAGCGGGCAUCCUUGUGGUGUCAGCGGCAGACGGGUGAGUAACGCGUGGGAACGUGCCCUUCGGUUCGGAAUAACUCAGGGAAACUUGAGCUAAUACCGGAUACGUGCGAGAGCAGAAAGGUUUAUCUGCCGAAGGAUCGGCCCGCGUCUGGUUAGCUCGUUGGUGAGGUUAUGGCUCACCAAGGCGACGAUCAGUAGCUGGUCUGAGAGGAUGAGCAGCCACACUGGGACUGAGACACGGCCCAGACUCCUACGGGAGGCAGCAGUGGGGAAUAUUGGACAAUGGGGGCAACCCUGAUCCAGCCAUGCCGCGUGAGUGAUGACGGCCUUAGGGUUGUAAAGCUCUUUUCUCCGGGACGAUAAUGACGGUACCGGAGGAAUAAGCCCCGGCUAACUUCGUG